CUGUGAUUGGUGCACUGAAUCAACGUGGGACCCACAUGGAUCUCAGCGUUAGGAACGGAAGAGGUGUUUCUCAUCGUACAGUGUUCGUGCUUCGAAGUACAG
Haliotis rubra (blacklip abalone) is the source of this 102-nucleotide long non-coding RNA. RefSeq lists it as uncharacterized. The transcript is spliced from 3 exons. Lineage: Eukaryota; Metazoa; Mollusca; Gastropoda; Lepetellida; Haliotidae. The record is from RefSeq and is a predicted model, not a curated record.